Molecule: long non-coding RNA, 2209 nt
Organism: Neofelis nebulosa (Clouded leopard)
Lineage: Eukaryota; Metazoa; Chordata; Mammalia; Carnivora; Felidae
Exons: 3
Source: RefSeq, a predicted model, not a curated record
CUAUCACUAACGAACACAAGUGAGUUUGAGUUUCUGACCCUGAGGGAUAGACACAGGGCAAGAGCUGUGUCCAGUCGUCUUGGCUCGGCCCCAGGGGCACAGUGCAGUGGGAGAGAUGUGGUAGGUGGUAGGUAGGUAGCUGAAUGCUGUGGAAACAGAGGGAAGAGGCAUAGAAUACGACUGGGAGAUUUGGGGAAGCUUUUCUGGAGGGCACAUGUCAUGAGGGAUGGUGAGAAGUAGCCUGUGGAAAGGGAUUUUGGUGCAGGAACCAGCCUAAGGCAUGGCAACUUGAGAGACCACGGUCAUGUGACAUAAUUGCUCUGAGUGGGAAAAUGGAACGUAUGUGGCCCCUGCAGUUGUUGUCAUCCUAAGAUUCUGUAAGUAGCGGGGUUUAGCUGAAUGGCCACAAGUGCCCCAAAAUACCCACACACAUUUGAGGUUUGGGUCAGAAAAUGCUCUGAAAAUGGCCAUUUUCUGCAACAAGGUUUUGCAUCCUGGGAACAGAAAUGGAAAUGAACGGAUGGUCAGGGUGAAACGUUGCUGGACCCGUAGAUACGGAGAAAGGCAGAGUGGCAAGGGAGUCCCCGGUGUCAGCAAGAGCCAUGGAAAAUGCCAAGUGUUGCACCAUUGAGCACAACUGGCAUUCACAAGUGGCUGGUGGGAGUGUUACGUUGAUUCAAUCACUUUGGAGAAAACUGGCAGGAUCAACUAACUAGCGGAAGGUCUAGCCUUAUACCCAGGCUGUUCCGCUGAUAUGUUUAUACCCAACAGAAAUAUGCUCACCAACAGGCUUGGCCUGGAGCUCUCCAGAUGCCAGCGAGUACUCGAAUGGAUACCUGCGUGGUGGGUUCUGCCUCCCACAUGUUCACAUCCUGUGAAUAUGUUGCAUUACAUAGCAAAGGGGGAUUAGGCAGCAAAUGGGAUUAACAGGUGAACCAGCUGACAUUAAAGAGAUUAUCCUGGAUUAUCAGGGUGGGUCAAAUGUAUCACAAAUUUCCUUAAAUGAGGAAGAGGGGGACAGAAGGGCCAGAGACGGUGGUAUGAGAAAGACUCCACUAGUCUAUACUGGCUUUGGAGAUGGAAGGAGCCGUGAGCCCGGCAAUGCGGGCGGCUGCUGGAAGCCGAGAAGCAAGAAUGAGAAACUAAUACGUGGAAUAUUCAUAUGGUGGAAUACUACACAGCAAUGAGGACAGAGGAUUUGCAAUUACAUGUAACAAUAUGGCUGAGAACAUGCUGUAUGAUUUAAUUUAUCUCUGAAAGGAAGGAAACCAACAUCUGAGCACCCACUUCCUCUUAGGAAUUUUAUAUGCUGUAUCACAUUUAAUUAUUACAGUCCGUGAUGUAGGUAUCAUUAAUCUGUUUUAAGAACGAGGAGGGGCACCUGGGUGGCUCAGUUGGUUGAGUGCCUGGCUUCAGCUCAGGUCAUGAUCUCACCGCUAGUGAGUUCAAGCCCCGCGUCAGGUUCUGUGCUGACAGCUCAGAGCCUGGAGCCUGCUUCAGAUUCUGUGACUCUGUCUCUUUCCACCCCUCCCUGCUCUCUCUCUCUCUUUCAAAAAUAAAUAAACAUUAAAAAAAUUAAAAAAAAAAAAAAGAAUAAGGAAACGGAGGCCCUGAAAAGUGAAGAGACUUGCCCAUUGUUACCUAGGUAAACCUGUGAUGCAGUCAGCCCUAUGGUUGACUAAUUAAAUUUCUUGUUUGUUCCCCACUCCCUCAAUAUUAUUGCAACAUGCAAUUCAUUUUACGUUCUUCUUUUCGUAUUAAGUACAUGUGCCUGUAAUCACCACCUCUACCAUUAGAUGGCGCAGGUGACCUUUCACCCAGUUAAUGCAUCAGACGGAGAGGCUGGGUGGGUGGGGACCUCAAUUAAACCUCCCUUUCUUGAAUUUAUUUGUUUUAAUUUUAGUCAGAAGUGAGCUUGAAAGAUUGAAAACCAUUAUAAACUUACCCUAGAAAUAAACACAGGUAGCUGGAUCUGUGUGUGUCUGUGGCCAAUUGUAUAAUUGGGAUUGUUCCAAGUUGACAAUCAUGUAAAAUGCCGUUUAUCAAAAGAUAGGUAGUAAAAGUGUGCUUAUUUAUAGCUUACAAAUAUAUUACUAAAUUUUAAUAGUAAUGGUAGCAAUUGUUUAGGACUUAGGCAAACAAAAGGCUUUUUUUGGGUGAGGAAUAUUCUUUCACUGAUACUUUUUAGAAUUGCAGGUAUAUGGUCAUA